CUUGCUUCCAGUGCGUUAGACUGGGUGUUAGUGUGACUCCCAUCUUCAGUGAGAGCUGUAGAUUAAAGACUUUCCUUCCAGCGUGAUGCACACACAGCAAUACGAUUUGUUCACUGUUCCGAUAGAAUGGCAGUCUGCUUUCUAGGGCUCUCUGUAAAGAUCUGAACAGCAGAUUCAGUCCCCCGUGCCCUGGUCAGUUGUCUUUGUGACUCGCCCCCCCUAACCCUGCUCUCUCCUCAGCAUUGCUCUAGCAGAGCUGUCACGCUAGCCUGCACAGUAAGGUCGUGUCGUUGCAUUGGCAGGUUACACAGGGUUCAUUCCCACAGUCCGCUGGAGCCUGGCAAAGAACUACUGCAGCGCAGUGCGAGAGGCCGGGAGCAACGAGGAGUGUAAUCAGUACCUCCUACGAAACCCUGGCAGAGCACAGGAAGAAAAAACGAGGUCCCCAGUCAAAGAGCUUUACAGAAGGCGCGGCAUGCUGCCUCGCUACACUGGCUUCCUCCCAGGUGUAAGAUACAAGCAUGGUUUAACCUUUGGCCAGAGUUCAAGAGAGUCAUACUGGGAUCAUCAUAAUCCUG
Molecule: long non-coding RNA, 578 nt
Organism: Acipenser ruthenus (sterlet)
Lineage: Eukaryota; Metazoa; Chordata; Actinopteri; Acipenseriformes; Acipenseridae
Exons: 3
Source: RefSeq, a predicted model, not a curated record